CAUGUAUGUCAAUAAGUUAUUUAUAUUAUGUGGUUUUCCGGAAGGUUCUAUCACAAAUACUGGAUUAUUCUGGGAUUUUCGAGAAUCUUCUUUUUUUUAUUCAUGGUAAUACACGGAAGUUUUGGAACUUUCUAUAAUGCUUUAAAGGGAAGCUGUUUGAAAAGUUACCAGUUUGGAUAUUUAACAUUUGAUGAUAGAUUUACAUUAACAUUGUGGAUUUAAAUAUUUAUGUUUAAAUACAUGAUUUAUAUUCUUUGGCUAUGCUAAAAUUAGUUUGGAUUCUUUGAGAAAUUUGGAAUUAUUAUCAACUGGAUUUAAAUUUGACCAGGACAGGAUUUGAACUAUUCUUUCAUAUUAGAACUGGACUUUACAGCUAGUUCAUAUUUUCAAGUUCUCUGCAGUCUGAGCAAUAUGAGAAAUUCGACGCUAUUGUUUGCCAAAAUAGCAAUACUGGUUAUUGCUUUAGGAGCGGUGACAAGAUGUUCUGCAGCCGCUGUUUAGGGAAAAGGUACCUUAAAGGUUGGUGGAAUACAAGCGGAUAUAUCGGGUAAGAGCACUGGCAGUCUGGCAACAACAGUGCCUUUCAACAUGUGCCUUUAUCUAGCUGUCUUCGCAUUCCUUUUCAAAACUUUCUCAUUGUGUUAAAAUAUGGGACAUACUGGAAAUAUUCAAGACUUGCAGAUCCAUGAUAGACAUUAACUUUUAAAGUCCGAAUAUUCUGUGUAAAUUUCCAGGAGGAGUACUACCGUAUAGAAAACACGUUAAUUUAACAAUUUUUGUGACUGAAGUCUCUGAAUGGAUACAUCGAAUCUAUGUUUUAACAAAACAUGUGAUCCAAAACAGAUAAAGUUUUAUAAGACGAUUCUACAUCCGCUGUGACAUUUUUCACACUAAUUUUACUAUUUAGAUAAUUGAAAGAAAGCACACAGCAAUACAUGUUCACAAUUUGAAGGUAUUAUUUAAUCUGGAGUUAAAAAUUUAAAUCGAAAAUGGAAUUUAUGGUCUUCAGGGUCAGUGGUCUCUGUAUUAGUGUUUCAGAGCAAGUGGUUUCUUAUCUAUUCAUUCAUGUAUAUCUAUGAUUUUUUCCCUGAUAUCUUUGUUUUGUUAACUGUAUGCAUGCACAGAUGUAUGACAUGAUUACAAUAUUAACACAUUGUUCCUAUAUUUUGUGUCAUAUUUUUUUUUCAACAAAAUUAAAAAGUUUUAGUUUAAAAUAAACCAGUAAAGCUAAUGUGUAAGGUAUGUUUCAAUCCGUUUUCUGGUUUCACAAAAAAUCUUGAAUCUAAUAUAUUGAUGACACUGGGUCCGUGUUUAUUGGUGAUUCAAAAAUAUAUUUUUUGAAUUCUCGGGUAACAAUAAUGAUAUUAAAACAUACAUUAUGACAAGUGUAUGAAUGUAUAAUGUGAUAUCUGUGCUUAUUAAACUGAUAUAUCUUU
This is a long non-coding RNA of Mercenaria mercenaria, 1436 nucleotides long. RefSeq lists it as uncharacterized. The transcript has 3 exons. The record is from RefSeq and is a predicted model, not a curated record. Lineage: Eukaryota; Metazoa; Mollusca; Bivalvia; Venerida; Veneridae.